ACUCCUACGGGAGGCAGCAGUGGGAAUCUUGGACAAUGGGGGCAACCCUGAUCCAGCCAUGCCGCGUGAGUGAUGAAGGCCUUAGGGUCGUAAAGCUCUUUCGCCUGUGAAGAUAAUGACGGUAGCAGGUAAAGAAACCCGCGUACAUCCGUGCCAGCAGCCGCGGUAAUACGGAGGGUGCGAGCGUUAAUCGGAAUUACUGGGCGUAAAGCGCAUGCAGGUGGUUUGUUAAGUCAGAUGUGAAAGCCCGGGGCUCAACCUCGGAACUGCAUUUGAAACUGGCAGACUAGAGUACUGUAGAGGGGGUGAGAAUUUCAGGUGUAGCGGUGAAAUGCGUAGAGAUCUGAAGGAAUACCGGUGGCG
RNAcentral lists this ribosomal RNA (363 nucleotides) under uncultured bacterium. RNAcentral's name for it is "bacterial SSU rRNA". It matches the Rfam family "Bacterial small subunit ribosomal RNA", at positions 335 to 717 of the family's 1533-position model. The record is from RNAcentral.